Molecule: ribosomal RNA, 500 nt
Filed under: uncultured bacterium
Lineage: Bacteria
Description: partial 16S ribosomal RNA
Rfam family: Bacterial small subunit ribosomal RNA
Source: RNAcentral
AUUGAACGCUGGCGGCAUGCCUUACACAUGCAUGUCGAACGGCAGCACGGGAGCAAUCCUGGUGGCGAGUGGCGAACGGGUGAGUAAUAUAUCGGAACGUGCCCAGUCGUGGGGGAUAACGUAGCGAAAGCUACGCUAAUACCGCAUACGAUCUACGGAUGAAAGCGGGGGAUCGCAAGACCUCGCGCGAUUGGAGCGGCCGAUAUCAGAUUAGCCAGUUGGUGGGGUAAAGGCCCACCAAGGCGACGAUCUGUAGCUGGUCUGAGAGGACGACCAGCCACACUGGAACUGAGACACGGUCCAGACUCCUACGGGAGGCAGCAGUGGGGAAUUUUGGACAAUGGGCGCAAGCCUGAUCCAGCAAUGCCGCGUGCAGGAUGAAGGCCUUCGGGUUGUAAACUGCUUUUGUACGGAACGAAACGGCGAGCUCCAAUAAAGUUUGCUAAUGACGGUACCGUAGGAAUAAGCACCGGCUAACUACGUGCCAGCCGCCGCAGUAA